CACAGGUACACCUCCAAUUGACUCAAAUGAUGUCAAUUAGCCUAUCAGACCAGACUGGCCAACAUCCAGUGAUGUUGCAGAGUGCCAAAUUCAAAUACAGAAAUACUCAUGCUAAUAAUACUCAUUAUAAUAAUUCAGAAAAUACAUACCUAUCUUACAUAGGUUUAAAGAUGAACUUCUUGUGAAUCCAACCACGGUGUCAGAUUUCAAAAUUGCUUUACUGCGAAAGCCUACCUUACAAUUAUUUGAGAACAUAGCCCAGCAGACAAAUCAUUACAAACAGUAACCAGCCAAGUAGAAGAGUUACACAUCAGAAGACAUUAAUUUAUUCAAUAAAUGUUCCUUUUGUUCGAUAAAGUCUCUUAUUAUAUCCGAAAACCUCCAUUUUGUUCACGCGUUUUCUUCAGUAAUCCACAUGCGCAAACGCAGUCUCAACAGGCAGACAAAAAAAAUCAAAAUUGUAUCCGUAAAGUUCAUAGAAACAUGUCAAACGAUGUUUAAAUUCAAACCUCAGGUUGUUUUUACCCUAAAUAAUCAAUAAUAUUUCAACCGGACAUUAACAUCGUCAAUAUAAAAGGUAAACAAGAAAGGCACUCUCUCGGUCGCGCGCAUGAAAAAGCUCUGUGACACGGCAGGGUCCACUCAUUCAGUCUAAUCUUACUCCCUCAUUUUUCAGAAUACAAGCCUGAAACAAUUUCUAAAGACUGUUGACAUCUAGUGGAAGGCAUAGGAACUGCAAUUUGAGUCCCAAGUUAAUGGAUACUGUAAUGGCAUUGAAUAGAAAACUACAAAAACUUCCUGAAUGGAUUUCUCUCAGGUUUUCACCUGCCAAAUCAGUUAUGUUAUACUCACAGACAAUAUUUUAACCGUUUUGGAAACUUUUGAGUGUUUUCUAUCCAAAUCUACUAUGCAUAUCCUAUCUUCUGGGCCUGAGUAGAAGGCAGUUUAAUUUGGGCACGCUUUUCAUCCAAAAUUCCAAAUGCUGCCCCCUACCCUAGAGAAGUUAAAGCCAUGAUGUCAUUUUCUGGAAUUUUCCAAGUUAUUUAAAAGCACAGUCAACUUAGUGUAUGUGAACUUCUGACCCACUGGAAUUGUGAUACAGUGAAUUAAGUGAAAUAAUCUGUCUGUAAACAAUUGUUGGAAAAAUGACUUGCGUCAUGCACAAAGUGGAUGUC
Oncorhynchus tshawytscha (Chinook salmon) is the source of this 1175-nucleotide long non-coding RNA. Lineage: Eukaryota; Metazoa; Chordata; Actinopteri; Salmoniformes; Salmonidae. The record is from Ensembl.